RNAcentral lists this long non-coding RNA (1597 nucleotides) under Marmota monax (woodchuck). The record is from RNAcentral. Lineage: Eukaryota; Metazoa; Chordata; Mammalia; Rodentia; Sciuridae.
CUCUAGUGAUCAGUUCUGAAGUUCUUUAGGGGAGUGUGUGUGUAGGGGUGAUCAUUACCUUUGUGGAUUUUCCUGCACUUGUUAACUUCCAUAGAAAAUCCGUUGGAUUACUCCCCCCAAUACUCAUUAAUUACUAAGCUUGCCUUCAGCAUCCCUUAUCCCCUCUUACUCCCAGGUCUGCUGAUGUUUGCUGUGACUCACAUGCUCUACGCCUCAGCCUUUGGCAUGCGGCCACUGGCUCUCCGGACAGGCCUGGUGAUGGGAGUGCUGUCAGGUCUGUGCUAUGCCCUCCUCUAUCCAGGGCUUUCAGGUGCCUUCACCUACCUGGUGGGGGUCUAUGUGGCCCUUAUCAGCUUCAUGGGCUGGCGAGCUAUGGCAGGACUGCAGCUGGCUGGGGCAGCCUGGCGCUGGACUGAGCUGGCAGCAGGCAGUGGUGCACUGCUCUUUAUCAUCUCAGACAUGAUCCUUGCACUGAACAAGUUCUGCUUUCCUGUGCCAUACUCUCGGGUAGUCAUCAUGUCCACCUACUAUGCUGCUCAGAUGCUCAUCGCCCUGUCAGCUGUGGAGAGCCGGGAGCCAGUGGAAGACUAUAGACUGAACAAGGCCAACUGAGGGACCAGGAUCUGCUCACCUCCCUCUCCUAGGGCUGGGGUCCAGACCCUGGGGAACCUACAGGAGCUGGAUCAGGAUGGCUGCAGUGCCAGCCUGGGCAGUCGGUAUCACUUGGGAAUUGACAAGUUUGAAGGGGUAAGCAGGAGAAGGUUCUCCCUAGCAAAGCUAGAGGUUCAGGAUAGUGCCGAGUACUCAGAGAAGCAGCUUCCUUUCUGGAGCCAGAACAUCACCCCACCUCUACCCCAUCAGGACUGUCAAAGACCUCCUGAAGGGUAAUGGUGCUCAGCUUCUUGACCCGCCCCUUCCCCUACUAGGUGAAAGAGUCUGACUUCAUCUCUUAUGCCUAGAACAAGUGGCAAUGCUGGAUGAAUCCACUCCUAACUUUUCUGUUCUGUAUAGUCUAGGGAAAGAGGGGAGAAAUCUGUGUUGAGAUGACCCAGGACCGGGGCUUGAAGCCCUUUUAACAGGCCCAUAGUUGGGAAGAUUGGAUGAAGAUGGAAUCUCCCUUCCCCUUGUCUAUCCUUGUUACUUGAACAAUCUCAAUCUUUAAGUGUGACUAUGGAGGUGAAGGGUAGGCAGGAGAGGAAUUUCCUUGGUGUGGGAGCUUGUGGAUACCAAGGAUUGAUCCCAUCUCACUCACAGGCCAGCCCAGAGCUCAGGCCCCAUACCACCACCCUUAGUUCCUGUUCCCAGGGCUAAGGUAAAAACCAUGCCAAAGGAAAGGGCCAGGCUGUGUGUGUGUGUGUGUGUGUGUGCGUGUGUGUGGUGUAUAUGUGUAGUCUGUCUCCUAGCUAGUCUGUGUGUUUUUCUGCCAUAUGUCUCUGCCUGCUGUCUGUAAAAUCUCAUAGGGAGAGGGCCUCAGGGAGCCACCGAAGGGUGCUGAGCCUGGCACCUUUCCUCCCAACAUACCCACUCAGUGCUUUCCUCCCUGCCCCUCCUACACUGGGCUCCAAUGACAUUCUAGGGUCUUAAGACCGAAGGCACA